GUGAACUCUGGCCUUUCCAGGUUUCUUUUCCUGGUCCCUGGUGGAGAGGACCACACCCCAGCCAGGGCCGUGGAAGAGUCCUGAGGCCUCCUGACGGGUAGUGGAGCAGUCACAGGUUUCAGAACCAAACCAUGCUCUUCCUUCUUCCCUUCUUGAACAUGAGCUGUACGUCCCUUGGCCCGGGGAAGUGAUGAGAAAAUGAAUAACCCACUGGCAGAAUUCUUCCUGCACAUGGAGAACUACUAGGCAGCCUUCCUCCCAGAUUCUCCCAGCCACUUCAUCUGGGGCCUGUGCAGACACAGCACAGGUUCAGGCACCCACCCUCCUGCCCCUAUUUGCAGAUUCCUCUGGCAGUGCAGCAAGCCCAUUAUUGCAACCUGGGGGAUGGCUGAACUGGAACCUGCUGACUCCACUGUGCCUCGUCUAAAAGCUCAGGAGCCUCAAGGACGUGUGAAGCCAGCCCAACUGGCCUUGGUUGGAAUCAAGGCCAAUUUGGGCCCUGGAAGGAAAGCCCAGAAUCCAGAAUGUGCUGACAGUGGGAGAGCUGUUCAUUUGUCCUCCGUGGGAUGAGGAACCUCAGCUGGAACCAGACAGAGUGCAGUCAAAGAGGC
This 611-nucleotide long non-coding RNA is filed under the name Cricetulus griseus (Chinese hamster). RNAcentral's name for it is "lncRNA (ENSCGRG00000026331.1)". The record is from RNAcentral. Lineage: Eukaryota; Metazoa; Chordata; Mammalia; Rodentia; Cricetidae.